This 242-nucleotide long non-coding RNA is filed under the name Phoenix dactylifera (date palm). RNAcentral's name for it is "long non-coding RNA (PDAC_LNC019795)". The record is from RNAcentral. Lineage: Eukaryota; Viridiplantae; Streptophyta; Magnoliopsida; Arecales; Arecaceae.
UUGAUCGGGUUUAGAAAGUGAUCGUGCCACUUUGCAGGGACUGAAUGUAAUAAUUCCUUGCGGCAGGGCUUGAACAAGUCUCGACAGGGCAGGCCGUGUUCGGAGACUAGUUCAGACUUAGUAUGGUUAUUAUUACAAAUUACAACUUUCACAGUUUAUAUAUUACAAAAAUAUCUGCUAUCGUUAUAAGUGAUCACAAAUCUGAACUAGAAACUGCACGAGAUUAGUUCAUUCAACAUGAA